RNAcentral lists this long non-coding RNA (4488 nucleotides) under Marmota monax (woodchuck). Lineage: Eukaryota; Metazoa; Chordata; Mammalia; Rodentia; Sciuridae. The record is from RNAcentral.
GUUGGAGUCCCUGUGCUUGCUCCACGGCCCGCUCCUUGAUUGGUCGCUGCAAGGACAGUUGGCAAGAAAUUGUACUGGUGGCUGCCUGAAAUCUGCUUAGCUCCUGCCUGAGUAUAUGUACAUGGUAACUGUGCAAUAAAGUCAGACCUGCUUCCUGCUUGGUCUCCGGAGAUCUUCAAUAGUGACUCCGCAGCCACACUCUCCUCUACCCUGUUCCAUGGACCUCCUCUCUGGAUGAGACGGAGCCCAUCACCUGGCACCCGAACAGGGAUCUGAGGUAAGUCUACACGAAAGGGUGUGGCCCCUCACAGAGCAGUGAGGAAGGGGAAAUGGGAACCUACCGAGUUCCACCGCAGACUCACAGCUGCAAGUGCUGCACACUCUCUUGGAUACUAGAGGUUUAACCCUGAAUAAAAGAAGCCCAGAAGUUUUGGGACGUAGUGAUAGAUACCAGCCCAUGGAUUAGUGUCACUGAUGUUUCUGACCCUAGGAUAUGGGACAAGAUAAUGGCAAGUGCACGGCAAGCUGAAGUGAGACAGGGGUAUACUUUACCAUGACAUUUUUUUCCUAUUGUGACAGCCAUUCAGCAAAGUUUAGGGCGCCCCGCAACAGAUCCUUGUCAUAUAAUGAUGGCCCUGAGGGAAGAUGAGGCUGUGAGAGACAGACAAGGGGAAAGCAGUGGGGGUGAAAAUCUACUUCAAAGCAAGAAACCACAGCAGGUGCAGGAAAGAGAGAGACAGGAAAUGGUACCGCUGGCCUUCAUAGUACAAGAAGAGGUGACCCCAAAUGGUGCAGGUGCACCUUCUACUGACAGGCAACGACUAUAUCCUUUUCUAAGACAAUGGCACCUGCUUCCUUAUGAGGCAAUGCCACAGCCAGCAAGGGACUAAGAAAUGACAAGGCCACAGACAGGCCCAAGCCAUGACCUCCCAGAAACCCAUUCCAGGAGGCCAGAGAUCCUUUUGAAGAUCUAUGUAGGAUAAGAGAUGAAAAGUGGGGUAAGAGGAUACCAGCCUUCCCAGUCAACAUGGACCCCCCACACAGCGCCCUGCCACUUGGUACCCACACAUGUUGGGCACCCUGAAAGAGUUGAAGAAGGCAAUAAAAGAGGAUGCACCCUGGGGGCCAUUUGCAGAGCAAAUGCUUAAAUCGCUCAGUCGCUCAGUCUUGAACUUAAUUGCACUCAGGACUGGAAGGACCUAGCCAGAGCAGCUCUUGAGCCGGCAACAUUUUUGAAGUAGAAGGCAUUCUUCUAUGAUGAAUGCGAACAGCAGGGAGAUCAUAACCACACCACAAAUGUUAACCUCCCAGCUGAAUGCCUGCAGGGAGAGGGAAUCUACUGUUCCCCUGUGGUACAAGCCACAGGCCCACCAAAUUGUUUCAAUCAGGUACGCCUCUGUGCUCUGAGAGACUGGAGGAAGCUACCAGCUGGGGGAGGCACAGGUUCUCUACAAGGCUUAAGGCAGAGAGCCACUCAGGACUUGCCACAGUUUAUUGACAGAGUAAACAAGGCAAUAGAAGAGAAGGUGUCUCAGGAAGGAGCUAGGGCAGCACUAACCAAGGGUUUGAUCUGGGAUGGACUAAAUAAGGAACAUAGAGCAGCAGCGGCACCAGUACGCAAUGGCACACUGGAUGAAUGGACUUUGGCCACCCAGGAUAGAGGGACACAAGCAGCUCAAGCCUCUCUGCUGGCCUCAGCCAUGGCAGUUGCAUAAAAGCAGGACUAAGGAGGCUUGCAGACAGCUAGUCAGAGAACGCAAAAAAUAUGCAUCUUUUCUCCCCAGUGGCUCUUUACAACCUGAUGGAGUGAAUCCCCAAGAGUUAAAAUCUAAUGCUUUUUGGCAAAUGGAUGUCACUCACUAUGCACCUUUUGGAAAUUUAAAAUACAUUCAUGUAAUCCUUGAUGUCUAUUCAGGCUGUGUAAUGGCCACAGCCUCCACAGGAGAAACCACAAAAAGUCAUCUCCCAUCUACUUCAAUGUUUUGGAAUUAUGGGUGUUCCUAUGUCUAUUAAGACUGACAAAGGGCCAGCCUACCCGAGCAAGACAUUUCAAGCAGAUUGCAAUGAAUGGCAUAUAUAGCACUUAACUGGAAUCCCCUAUAACCCCCAGACUCAAGGCAUCAUAGAAAGAACACACAAGGAAUUAAAGACCAUGCUAUAAAACAUGGGGGAAACUAUACCGAGUCUCCUUGCAAUGCCUUGAACAAAACUUUAUUUGCUUUAAAUUUUCUCUCAAUGUCAAAAUUUUCUAUGGAAACAGCAGCUCAUAAACAUUGGGUCCCCCUCAUGGGGCCCUCCCAUCUUCCUAUGGUCUCAUGGAAGGAUCCCAUAACAAAUGCAUGGGGUGGUCUGGGGCCCCUCCUAACCAUGGGUCAAGGGUUUGCAUAUGUUAACAGGAGCCUCACCCCAUCUGGGUGCCUGCCAGAAAGUCAAGCCCUGGACCCCCAGAACCACCAACCAAGAAGAUGAAGGAACUAACUCUGGAGGAAAAACCUCACAGGCAAAGAACUCAACAACACUAAUGGACCUCACAUAAAGUAACCUGGGGUGAUCUUAAAGGUCUUGUUGACCAAGCCACCAGAUUGGCCCCUUUGCCUGGUGGCAACCCCAUCUCUGGGCCUAUGAUGGUGGUCCUACUGUGUGCAAUGCUCACUGCUAACAGUGAAGCCUCCUGUCAGGUAAAUUGAGCUUUGGUUACUAGGCCACCACCUUUAGCAGUUGCUAAUUAGGAAGGGGCUUUACCUGAGCUCUUCUCUAAUAAUUCCAACCUUAUUGAUCCUGAGUUAUUCAUCCAGGAGGUGACAGUACCCUGGAACCAGCAUUUCCAUAGCUACUCUGCCCAUUUGUUUCUCUGUAGUAGAUAAUGAAACCUAUAAUCCAGACAGUCACCUCUGUUUUGCUCUUGUCAAUGAAAUUUUUGUAGAUAACUAUAAUAAGCCUUAUGUUGGGCUGUCUCUCACUGACCUUAGAGUUACAGUUAAUGCUACCUAUGGCCAUAGACUCCCCCAUGGCAAAUGCAAGAAACCCUUGCUGCCAACAUGCCCAACAACGCUUUUUGGAAAGCCCCCCACCCCCUUGGAUAAUGAUAGCAUCCCAUGGAAUCAAUGGGACACUGCCAUACCUUAUCUCCUUGAUGAGAGGAAUUUCUCUGGGGAAGGACAACGUCUAUGCUCCUGGGUGGGCACAGCUCCCUGGAAUGUAACUGAUGUGCCCAAAAACCAUAUUGGCCCCUGCAGUACCUACUACACAGGACGAGCCAUUACCAACCGUUAUGCAGGAAAUCAGUAUGGCAUGAUAGAUAUUAUGCCAGAAUAUUGUUGGCUGUUAAAGCCAUCAAAUGGGCAUCACCCUGCUGGAUGAAUAGGAUGAUAUUGAGUCCAGACCCUUACCAUUUGCCUUUAUGCCAAAUUAUACCCAUACCCUCUAUGCACAGGUGUGUGUUAUGCCACCCUUUGCCAUGCUAAUAAUCAAUGAUACUGAGGGUAUAAAUAUCACUCAAACAGAGAUCCCUUGUGCUGACAAUAUAUCCUGCUGGCUCACAAAUUGUCUAAUCCCUGCUAUGACAGCUAAACGUGUAUUUAUCCUCAGAGUGCCCCCAGCAGUCUGGCUUCCAGUGACCCUGUCCAGAGAGUGGAGGAGUCCAUGGGACAUGGAGAUGAAGAAUCUUCUACACCAGACAAGGCGUGCAAUUAGCCUUAUCAUCACUGGGAUUAUUGCCCUGGUGGCUGCCAUCGCUGCCACAGCCACUGCCGCUGCUUCGCUCACCCAGAAUAUCCAGAUGGCUCAGACUGUGGACAAUGUGUCUACUGCCAUGGCAGAAGCCUUUUCCAUUCAAAAUGACUUAAAUAACCUGUCCUGAGCCACUAUUUUAGUCAUUCGGCAAGCACUAGACCUCCACAGGAAUAACUAGAUAUUCUGUUUAUGUUGUAAAGGCUCACUUAUGACCCUGAAUUUCAUAGUAUUUGUGUCAUCCAAUAUGCUGUAUCUGAAAAUGUAACCUUACACUUCUCCAAUUUUUCUCAGUAUGUUAAAGGUGCUUGGGAUAUUGACUAUAUUAUGACCUUACUAAGGUAAUUGUUAAAAUCAAUGAGACUAAGGUGUCUAUCUUAACAACCUCUUCUUUCUUCCAGGGAUUGAAUAAACACUGGAAAAAUCUGAUAGCCAAAUUAACUUCUCCUUAUAAUGCUAUUAUCCUGGCCCUACUUUUUAAAAUAGUGAUAAUUUUUUUCUUGUGUUGUAAGACCCUUAUGUAACCAUGUAAAGGCCACCAAAAGAAUAAUAGCAAUGAUGGCUAAAGUCCUUGCCACACAGUCAGAGGGGAGAGAUGUGGGGACACGUGCAUGGAGUGCUGCAUACAUGGCAUGUGUUAAGGGCAUCUGAGUGGCAAACCUCUCCCCUCAUGCUAGGUGUGUAAGUGGCAAACCGCUUACCCUGUAGGCAUAGUCCUGGGUGUGAGGCCAUGUGUUGCAGUCCCUGUGCCUGCUCCAG